Molecule: ribosomal RNA, 254 nt
Filed under: uncultured bacterium
Lineage: Bacteria
Description: partial 16S ribosomal RNA
Rfam family: Bacterial small subunit ribosomal RNA
Source: RNAcentral
UACGUAGGGUGCGAGCGUUGUCCGGAAUUAUUGGGCGUAAAGAGCUCGUAGGCGGUGUGUCACGUCGUUCGUGAAAACCUGCAGCUUAACUGUGGGCGUGCGGUCGAUACGGGCAUCACUGGAGUUCGGCAGGGGAGACUGGAAUUCCUGGUGUAGCGGUGAAAUGCGUAGAUAUCGUGAGGAAGACCAGUGGCGAAGGCGGGUCUCUGGACAGUUCCUGACGCUGAGGCGCGAAGGCCAGGGGAGCAAACGGG